Molecule: ribosomal RNA, 253 nt
Filed under: uncultured bacterium
Lineage: Bacteria
Description: partial 16S ribosomal RNA
Rfam family: Bacterial small subunit ribosomal RNA
Source: RNAcentral
UACAGAGGGUGCGAGCGUUAAUCGGAAUUACUGGGCGUAAAGCGUGCGUAGACGGUUAUUUAAGUCGGGUGUGAAAGCCCCGGGCUCAACCUGGGAAUUGCAUUCGAGACUGAAUAGCUAGGGUACGGUAGAGGGAAGCGGAAUUUCCGGUGUAGCGGUGAAAUGCGUAGAUAUCGGGAGGAACACCGGUGGCGAAGGCGGCCCCCUGGUUGGAUACUGACGCUGAGACGCGAAAGCGUGGGGAGCAAACAGG